Non-coding RNA from Paramuricea clavata, 823 nucleotides. The record is from the annotation of a GenBank genome assembly. NCBI's taxonomy places the organism in Eukaryota, Metazoa, Cnidaria, Anthozoa, Malacalcyonacea, Plexauridae.
AGACAAGAUACGUUCUAAAGAUCGAAGUAUACGGAUAUUAUUUCCAUGAUUGUGGUAGCAUUGUGUUAAAGAUGCGGUACAGUCCGUAUGUAAACCAAUGCUGUGCUGAGUGGUUAUAUUACUACCUUAAAAAACAAGCAGAAACGUAUUAACUCGACGUUUCGAGCGAAGCUCCUUCGUCAAGAGUUAGUAGCUUUGUUUACAUUUCGGUAUCCUAAAUAUUGAAUUAUAUUCGACAACUAUUUAUAUUUUCAUGAUUCUAGAGUAUAAUAAAUUAUGAAGACACAACAAUCAUGCUUUGCAAAAAAUAAAAUAAAAACUUAAAUAAACUGUUUGUAAAUAAAAAGAGGGCUCCUUUGUGCACAUGCGCAGAUCGGACUGUACCGCAUCUUUAGUAAGCUGAAAAUCAAUUUUGGGGUUACGGGUACUUUAACUGUCGUGACCCAGUGAUCCUUCGGUAAUAUGUAAUGGCUGGAUCUAUCUCAUUUUUAUGUGCUACAUGGAAAACAAUACUUUAUUAUGUAUAUACUGAGUUUUCCCACUGGAUUUACCUAUGCAAAAACUCGUUUCGCAAUGCACAUUAACCAAUCAGAAAAGCGAUGCAAUUUUCUCACAUGCAUGUGAAAAAAGUUUCGUCCAAUAAAGUGAUACAAGUCGUUAGAGAGGUAAAAGCUUCAAGAAUUUGCGUUGGUAAUUACUGUAAACACUACUGUAAAUACUCUGAUAAGGACUGUUUAGUAUAGGUAAUCAUGCGAUGGCGAGUACAAUUACGGAUUUUAAUUUUUUUUAUUAAAAUAGCCUACGAGUGAUGCUUGGAAAUUUA